Long non-coding RNA from Ornithodoros turicata, 2630 nucleotides. RefSeq lists it as uncharacterized. The record is from RefSeq and is a predicted model, not a curated record. NCBI's taxonomy places the organism in Eukaryota, Metazoa, Arthropoda, Arachnida, Ixodida, Argasidae. The transcript has 2 exons.
UUUAAAGUUAAAGCACUUGGGAUUUAUCCAAACAACUCCUUUUGUGCCGCGAUUAGUCGCAUCGCGAGCAGUAACAGCGGUAACAGCCGUAACAGCUCUAACAGCUCCCGCCGCAAAACUAUGAAUUCUCGGGUAUCCGGGCAUGUAUACGGGUAUCGUGGCGUGUGGCAUGGACGAGGAGGUUAUAUACCAAAAAUACAAAACAAACAAAGAUAUAUUUAUGUAUAUAUUGUUUUAUUUGUAUGUAUAUAUCCGUUCUGGUAUAUAACCAAUAUAACCUCCUUGGGCGUGGCUCUCGCAAUCCAAAUCCACUGAGAAUAACGAAAGCAUAUGCGCAUAAUGAUGGUAAUGCAGGUAAACCUCUUCUAUAACCUUGCCAGUGGUUUAUCCAGAAUCGCAGUUGCUUUACCCGUCAUCGCCGACAUGCGUCUGCAGCUGAAAAACCAAGGACACCCUCCUGCAGCGAUUGCACAGGACAGGAAGGCAGAGCCGGAUGUGUCGCCAAACAUUUUGGAUGAGUGUAGAGGGUCUGGACCCUUGCGUAGAGGCACCACAUCCUAUUUAGUGACUCGAAAAAGGGCAAUACAGACAGCCACUACAAAGUGCAUGGACAGGACAAGCAAUGAAGCUGUGUUUGCGUGGUCGGGCAAAGAGGCGGCAGAUGAUAAUCAUUUAUCCAUACCCCCUCAAAUCCUUUGUUACCUUCCCGUGGGCACUCUACAGGGGGACCAGUGUUAUUUCAGCUUUAGAUGCAUAACAGUCAUAAGACCACAUGUUCUCGAUUCUGGAUAACACACAAGCUUUGCCUCAAUCUUCUUCCUGGGAAUUUUCUUGGCCCCCAUUGUUGUCUCUGCAAGGGAUUGUUUGACUGAUUGAUUGAAAACAGAAAAAAAAUAUGCAGAUGUGAGUCCCAACAACAAAACACAUGAAUUAGAAAAGAAGCUAGAAAACCGUAACAAAUUGUCUCAUUCAUUGCAUUGUUCUUUCUUGUGGUCAUCUUUGCAAGGGUCCUACGUGUCCAUACAGUAAAUAUUUUGUGAAAAAUAUGCACUUUACGAGACCACUUGGAAUUCGUGCAUUUUUGAGACAACUAAGGGCUUUUUUUCUGGGCUGCUUUCAACAAAUUGGGAGAGGUAUUUAGUUAUUUAUUCGUUUUACCCCAUAUGUCAAACUACAUUACGUUGAGGAGUGGGAAAGAAAUAUACAAUGUACACCAUGAACCAGCUAUGGAACACAGUGUACACAAUGCAGAAAAACACAAUUCAUAACUUUAGGGAAAACCCAGAAGCAAAGAUUAUAUAGAUAAUUACUGUGGCAUAGAAAUUAAUUUAGCCAGCAAUGGAUCAGCCAUUGAGUUAUGGUUGGCUAGGAAUUCAUUUGUAAGAGUGUUCAGGGAACGUUACCAAAGCAAUUGGUAUUUUAAAUCUUAACUAACAAAAAUAUGCAAAUUAAGUUUUUUAAUUAAAAGGAACAAGUUGCUAGUAUUGGUUGUGAAAAUAAAGCGUGAGGAAAACAAGAGGUAACAUUUGCUUCAGUAUGAGAAGGGAUUCAAAUCUCAUACUCAAGGAAAUGACAAGUUCAUUACACCAGAUUUCUUGCCUCUUACAUUUUUUUCUCGAGAACAACUCACCUUCGAAAAGAUGUCAAGAUGAAAAGAUGUAUUUUGUCGGUGUCCUAUAACUGUAAUUCUGAAUACUCCAUUUUUGCCUCUCUAGUUUUUUUCUAUAAUAUGCGUUCAGCCGAUUUGUAUUAAUUAAAAAGCUAAUAUUUUCAUUAACUAAUAUGUUACAUUGACUGUUCUUUCCACAAAGUUUCUUCUCACCUCAGUCUUUCUCUGACAGAUUUCCUUAGCUCACAUCAAUCUUUUUCUGUAAAUUUUCCUCGCUUCAACCUUUUUUUCUGGGAAUUGCCCUCACCUCUAUGUUUUUCCUCAUCUCAACAUCCAUGAGGUUAUCCUCUCAGGAGGGUUCAUCUUCACAAACAAGUAAAGCUUUUGCAAAUUGUUGACAGUGUGCAUACAUGACAGAUGUGUUUUCACAAUAUUUAUAUAAAUUUUCUUGUCCCAGGUGCCAACGCCCAUUUAGGGAAAAUGUACUCUCGUAACUUACAUGGACCGAUACGAAGAAUCUUGCAACAGGGCGAUGGAUUUCUUGCUACCAGCAGCAUUGUAUUGUUUGGCUAACAGGGAGGUUACGAGUGCAAGCUGUGUCCAUACAAGGCGAGACUCAAGGGCAACCUGGUGAGCCAUUUACGGACUCAUACGGGCGAACGCCCCUUCAAGUGUAGCUUCUGCAACUACAGGGCAGUUCAGAAGCAGAAUGUGAUAACGCACGAGAGACGUCAUACUGGAGAAAGACCCUUCAAGUGCAGCUUGUGUAGCUAUGCUGCACGUGUCAAGAGUGCUCUUCUAUCCCACCAGAGGGUGCACACAGGGGAGAAACCUUACGCCUGCAGAUUUUGCUCUUAUCGUGCUGCCUAUCUACCAGGCAUCAAGUAUCACGAACGGACACACGCACCUUAACACCUUCAUUCAAGAACACCCUGUUUUGUAGCCAGCAAAUGUACUGCUACAUUUUUGUCCUAACGCGAAACAUCCGCUAAUAAAUCGGGGUCGUAACAUUUACGAAGCA